AUUUAUAUAGUUUAAAAAAAAACAUUACACUUUCAUCGUAAAAUUAGAUCCUAUCUUAUAAAUA
Molecule: transfer RNA, 64 nt
Filed under: Prosopocoilus astacoides blanchardi
Lineage: Eukaryota; Metazoa; Arthropoda; Insecta; Coleoptera; Lucanidae
Also listed under: 1 other name
Description: tRNA-Glu
Source: RNAcentral